This 723-nucleotide long non-coding RNA is filed under the name Arabidopsis lyrata. RNAcentral describes it as "long non-coding RNA (ALYR_LNC001793)". Lineage: Eukaryota; Viridiplantae; Streptophyta; Magnoliopsida; Brassicales; Brassicaceae. The record is from RNAcentral.
ACACCUUGGCGAAGUUUUUAAAUGUGCGCUUACAAUGUUUUUAACCCCAUGGUUAUUGCGUCAGCAUCAUGUUUUUUUUCUUCCCGUUUUUCAGCGAAUACUUUUAGUUUUUGUUUUGUCUCUAAGGAUAUGAAGUUCUUUCUUGGUUUUAAUAUGAAGUAUCUUGAAUAAAAACAUGGGAUUAUUGUUGAUUUUGCCCUUUUUUACCAAAAUCUUUUGAAAAUGCCAUUUUUGCAAAAAUCUUAUGGAUUUGUCAUUUUUUAACACUUAAAAAUGUACGUAUUUCGGAUUUUUUUUGGUAAAAAUACGUAGUUUAUACAAAAUACUAAACCCUAAGAACAACCACAACCGACUAAACCCAAACAUAACGAAUAAAACGCAUGUUUCCAUAGCCUGAAAAAAGGUAAAAUCCAUAAACUAUUCAAAAAAUGGCAAAAUCCACAAAUGCCAUCACAAAAAAUGGUAAAUCCAUAAUUGAUUCUAAAAACAUCCGUUCCUAUUGUUAUUUAUAGCAAAACUAGAACUGACCAUAAACGGAGAUAUAAGUUAUGAAAAUAGUAAAUCUAAAGGGGUGUCUUAACUGGUUUUUUAUUCGAUUUUGGUUAAACCAAGUAAUUGGCAAAUUAGUCUCUAAAUCAGUUUACAUUAUUAGAGGAAAUUGUUCAAUCAAAAGGAAGGUCAUCUUUAAUCAGUUUGGUACUUGUUAAUCUUGAUUAGUCAACC